This 1152-nucleotide non-coding RNA is filed under the name Pan troglodytes (chimpanzee). Lineage: Eukaryota; Metazoa; Chordata; Mammalia; Primates; Hominidae. The record is from RNAcentral.
UUUUUCGCCCCGCCCUUCAAAUGCGAAAGCGACUGCCUUCUUGGGAUAUGGUUUUCGAUUACUAAGUAUUCGAAAUCCUCAUACCAGCAACAGAAAUGAACCACUUCCAAAUUCUAAGACACAAAAGACCAAAGAGAAGCAAAAGCGAUACAAAUUAAUAUGUGCCCCUCUCCUUUCUGCUCUAAGGGAAUCUACAAACCAGUAUCACAUUUAGGAGUCAAAGUGUUAAUUCUUCAGCAUUCCUGACAACUAGAAAGCACAUUCACUGAAGGCUGAAGGUGAGGGAGUGGAUGGUUUAACUUUAAUAUCUGAAGAAUGGCGCCAAUAGAGGAAAGAAAACCAUCCAAUCUCAGUAAGGAUUAAUGCAAAUCUGGCUAGAAAAAGCCACCAGGUAAUCCAAGGGUUCACUGUGGAAGAACUCAUGAAAAGUACUCUGAAGUAUACACAACAGGUCUAAACAUCUCCCUUGUCGUAAGUAGUUGUGUAAAAUUCAAGAUAAAGAUUUAGUCUCAUCUUUUAAUGUCAGUUUUUUCCCCCAUGUUAAAGGGAAUGAGGAGGAGUCCUCUUUUAUUCCCCCACAAGAAAAAGGGAGCCACAUUAAUAUGUGUAUAUUCCCAUAACUCUAACGUAAGUGCGGAUCUUCAAAGCCUAGGGAUUUUUCCGUAAAAGAGAGUGGGCCGUUCUGGUUACCCUUUUAUUAGAAGGGUAUUCCACCACAGAGAGCCGGAGGUUUUCCAGAUGUGUGUAAGAGAGCAGGUGCGCAAGGCAAGCAAAUGAGCGCAAACAGUAUUAUGGAAAACAUUUGAGAAGUUAGCUCCAUGAGGACUGUGGGCUCCACAAGAGGACUCGACUGGGUAGCCUGGUCUGACACAGGAACGUGAAAGCAGAGUAUUGCUUCAAAGCUGGAAACCUUCCAUAGGAGCCUCACACUGCUGGAAGAUGUACUGCUGCUGGUUAAGGUCAACCUGGGGUGCAAUGCUGCUGUCUUCAUCUUCGGUCCCGAAGUAAUGCUCAAUAAGAUCAAAGGCCUUUUGGUAGAUCUCCUGGUUUUCAUGACUCUGUAAGAACUCAAUUUUAUCCAGACCUAAAAUGAAGAAUAAAGGAAAAUCUUUAUUGAAAACUUCAAUAAAUAUUGGAAAUUCCAUAACUAUA